Molecule: ribosomal RNA, 538 nt
Filed under: Hylarana cf. danieli SDBDU 2009.293
Lineage: Eukaryota; Metazoa; Chordata; Amphibia; Anura; Ranidae
Description: partial 16S ribosomal RNA
Rfam family: Bacterial large subunit ribosomal RNA
Source: RNAcentral
AUAGAGGUCCAGCCUGCCCACUGACAAAUGUUAACGGCCGCGGUACCCUAACCGUGCAAAGGUAGCAUAAUCACUUGUCCUCUAAAUAGGGACUAGUAUCAACGGCAUCACGAGGGCUAUACUGUCUCCUUUCUCUAAUCAGUGAAACUGAUCUCCCCGUGAAGAAGCGGGGAUUAUCUUAUAAGACGAGAAGACCCCAUGGAGCUUUAAGCAACAUAUUCACCUCCUUCCUCUUUUAUACCAAAUUAACAAAAAGCCUGAAUACUAGCUUUAGGUUGGGGAGACCGCGGAGCAUAACUUAACCUCCACGACAAAAAGGCCACGACCUUAUCCACGAGCUACAACUCUAAGAAUCAACAAACUGAUGUUUAAUGACCCAUAUUUAUGAUCAACGGACCAAGUUACCCUGGGGAUAACAGCGCAAUCUACUUCAAGAGCCCCUAUCGACAAGUAGGUUUACGACCUCGAUGUUGGAUCAGGGUAUCCCAGUGGUGCAACCGCUACUAAAGGUUCGUUUGUUCAACGAUUAAAACCCUAC